Anas platyrhynchos (mallard) is the source of this 337-nucleotide non-coding RNA. NCBI's taxonomy places the organism in Eukaryota, Metazoa, Chordata, Aves, Anseriformes, Anatidae. The record is from RefSeq and is a predicted model, not a curated record.
UGAAGCAGAGCGGGGUGAGUGUCCUCCCCAACGGAAAGAACUUCAUGUUUCCAAUGGAAGCUAUGGCAGGAGAAGCUUUCCCCUCUGAUCAUGUGUUGCUUUUCUCUUUCUUUACAGAGGAAAAGAAGGUAACGCUGGGUAAGUCUCCAUCAUGCAUCUGAAUGUAUCUGGGGUCAUCGCAAUGGGAUGGGAAAGCUGUUCCCUCUCACCAUGAUUUUCAUCUCAUUUCUAGAGCGCCAGUCUGCAAGACUGAAGGAACAAGCAGCAGAGCUGGUGAGGAAGGAUACAGAACUCGAGGAACAAGCAGCUGAGAUGGCACAAAAAGAGAAAAGGCUGG